CGGGCUCGGCGGCUGUGGUGGGGUUGCAGGGCUUGGCGGCGACGGCAGCGCCGGUGACGGCUGUGGGCUGGGUGGCUGCAGCGGCAGUCCUGGGCUAGGUGGUGAAGGCUCUGGCGACGGUGGCUGCGGGCCCGGCGGCUGUGGUGGGGUUGCAGGGCUUGGCGGCGACGGCAGCGACGGUGACGGCUGUGGGCUGGGUGGCUGCAGCGGCAGUCCUGAGCUAGGUGGUGAAGGCGCUGGCGACGGUGGCUGCGGGCUUGGCGGCUGUGGUGGGGUUGCAGGGCUUGGCGGCGACGGCAGCGAAGGUGACGGCUGUGGGCUGGGUGGCUGCAGCGGCAGUCCUGGGCUAGGUGGUGAAGGCUCUGGCGACGGUGGCUGCGGGCUCGGCGGCUGUGGUGGGGUUGCAGGGCUUGGCGGCGGCGGCAGCGCCGGUGUUGGCUGUGGUCUGGGUGGCUGCAGCGGCAGUCCUGGGCUAGGUGGUGAAGGCUCUGGCGACGGUGGCUGCGGGCUCGGCGGCUGUGGUGGGGUUGCAGGGCUUGGCGGCGACGGCAGCGACGGUGACGGCUGUGGGCUGGGUGGCUGCAGCGGCAGUCCUGAGCUAGGUGGUGAAGGCUCUGGCGACGGUGGCUGCGGGCUCGGCGGCUGUGGUGGGGUUGCAGGGCUUGGCGGCGACGGCAGCGCCGGUGUUGGCUGUGGGCUGGGUGGCUGCAGCGGCAGUCCUGGGCUAGGUGGUGAAGGCUCUGGCGACGGUGGCUGCGGGCUCGGCGGCUGUGGUGGGGUUGCAGGGCUUGGCGGCGACGGCAGCGACGGUGACGGCUGUGGGCUGGGUGGCUGCAGCGGCAGUCCUGGGCUAGGUGGUGAAGGCUCUGGCGACGGUGGCUGCGGGCUCGGCGGCUGUGGUGGGGUUGCAGGGCUUGGCGGCGACGGCAACGCCGGUGACGGCUGUGGGCUGGGUGGCUGCAGCGGCAGUCCUGGGCUAGGUGGUGAAGGCUCUGGCGACGGUGGCUGCGGGCUCGGCGGCUGUGGUGGGGUUGCAGGGCUUGGCGGCGACGGCAGCGACGGUGUUGGCUGUGGGCUGGGUGGCUGCAGCGGCUGUCCUGGGCUAGGUGGUGAAGGCUCUGGCGACGGUGGCUGCGGGCUCGGCGGCUGUGGUGGGGUUGCAGGGCUUGGCGGCGACGGCAGCGACGGUGACGGCUGUGGGCUGGGUGGCUGCAGCGGCUGUCCUGGGCUAGGUGGUGAAGGCUCUGGCGACGGUGGCUGCGGGCUCGGCGGCUGUGGUGGGGUUGCAGGGCUUGGCGGCGACGGCAGCGACGGUGACGGCUGUGGGCUGGGUGGCUGCAGCGGCUGUCCUGGGCUAGGUGGUGAAGGCUCUGGCGACGGUGGCUGCGGGCUCGGCGGCUGUGGUGGGGUUGCAGGGCUUGGCGGCGACGGCACCGACGGUGUUGGCUGUGGGCUGGGUGGCUGCAGCGGCAGUCCUGGGCUAGGUGGUGAAGGCUCUGGCGACGGUGGCUGCGGGCUCGGCGGCUGUGGUGGGGUUGCAGGGCUUGGCGGCGGCGGCAGCGACGGUGACGGCUGUGGGCUGGGUGGCUGCAGCGGCAGUCCUGGGCUAGGUGGUGAAGGCUCUGGCGACGGUGGCUGCGGCAGGGCUUGGCGGCGAUGGCAGGCGUUGACGGCUGUGGGCUGGGUGGCUGCAGCGGCAGUCCUGGGCUAGGUGGUGAAGGCUCUGGCGACGGUGGCUGCGGGCUCGGCGGCUGUGGUGGGGUUGCAGGGCUUGGCGGCGGCGGCAGCGACGGUGUUCGGCUGUGGGCUGGGUGGCUGCAGCGGCAGUCCUGGGCUAGGUGGUGAAGGCUCUGGCGACGGUGGCUGCGGGCUCGGCGGCUGUGGUGGGGUUGCAGGGCUUGGCGGCGGCGGCAGCGACGGUGUUGGCUGUGGGCUGGGUGGCUGCAGCGGCAGUCCUGGGCUAGGUGGUGAAGGCUCUGGCGACGGUGGCUGCGGGCUCGGCGGCUGUGGUGGGGUUGCAGGGCUUGGCGGCGACGGCAGCGCCGGUGUUGGCUGUGGGCUGGGUGGCUGCAGCGGCAGUCCUGGGCUAGGUGGUGAAGGCGCUGGCGACGGUGGCUGCGGGCUCGGCGGCUGUGGUGGGGUUGCAGGGCUUGGCGGCGACGGCAGCGCCGGUGUUGGCUGUGGGCUGGGUGGCUGCAGCGGCAGUCCUGGGCUAGGUGGUGAAGGCUCUGGCGACGGUGGCUGCGGGCUCGGCGGCUGUGGUGGGGUUGCAGGGCUUGGCGGCGACGGCAAGCGACGGUGACGGCUGUGGGCUGGGUGGCUGCAGCGGCAGUCCUGGGCUAGGUGGUGAAGGCUCUGGCGACGGUGGCUGCGGGCUCGGCGGCUGUGGUGGGGUUGCAGGGCUUGGCGGCGACGGCAGCGCCGGUGUUGGCUGUGGGCUGGGUGGCUGCAGCGGCAGUCCUGGGCUAGGUGGUGAAGGCUCUGGCGACGGUGGCUGCGGGCUCGGCGGCUGUGGUGGGGUUGCAGGGCUUGGCGGCGACGGCAACGCCGGUGUUGGCUGUGGACUGGGUGGCUGCAGCGGCAGUCCUGGGCUAGGUGGUGAAGGCGCUGGCGACGGUGGCUGCGGGCUCGGCGGCUGUGGUGGGGUUGCAGGGCUUGGCGGCGACGGCAGCGCCGGUGUUGGCUGUGGGCUGGGUGGCUGCAGCGGCAGUCCUGGGCUAGGUGGUGAAGGCGCUGGCGACGGUGGCUGCGGGCUCGGCGGCUGUGGUGGGGUUGCAGGGCUUGGCGGCGACGGCAGCGACGGUGACGGCUGUGGGCUGGGUGGCUGCAGCGGCAGUCCUGGGCUAGGUGGUGAAGGCUCUGGCGACGGUGGCUGCGGGCUCGGCGGCUGUGGUGGGGUUGCAGGGCUUGGCGGCGACGGCAAGCGCCGGUGUUGGCUGUGGGCUGGGUGGCUGCAGCGGCAGUCCUGGGCUAGGUGGUGAAGGCUCUGGCGACGGUGGCUGCGGGCUCGGCGGCUGUGGUGGGGUUGCAGGGCUUGGCGGCGACGGCAGCGACGGUGAUGGCUGUGGGCUGGGUGGCUGCAGCGGCAGUCCUGGGCUAGGUGGUGAAGGCGCUGGCGACGGUGGCUGCGGGCUCGGCGGCUGUGGUGGGGUUGCAGGGCUUGGCGGCGACGGCAGCGCCGGUGACGGCUGUGGGCUGGGUGGCUGCAGCGGCAGUCCUGGGCUAGGUGGUGAAGGCUCUGGCGACGGUGGCUGCGGGCUCGGCGGCUGUGGUGGGGUUGCAGGGCUUGGCGGCGACGGCAGCGACGGUGUUGGCUGUGGGCUGGGUGGCUGCAGCGGCAGUCCUGGGCUAG
This 3352-nucleotide long non-coding RNA is filed under the name Volvox carteri. Its description in RNAcentral is "long non-coding RNA (VCAR_LNC002989)". Lineage: Eukaryota; Viridiplantae; Chlorophyta; Chlorophyceae; Chlamydomonadales; Volvocaceae. The record is from RNAcentral.